CUGGAAACAGUGUGCUGGACGCGACUCUAAAUAAUGCCGGCCUCAUGCAAGUCAGCUGCUAUGUGCUGGCGACACUGCCGAAUUGCGGGGAACUCCUAAUAGCCCUCCACACUAAACCAUCUGGGGAAACCCAAUGGCGGCCUAUGGGAAACCAUGGGGUACAGUAACAGUUGGAGGGAUGAUGCCAUGGCAGGCUGUGCUGGCCUGUUUUCUGUGCUGAAAUGGAUUAUCCGCAGCGAAGCCCCUGGGCCCAAUGCCUUGGGGAACGUUCACAGACUAAGCGGCUGUGGGUGGGGGACUGGGUCUCCUGCUUAAGAGAUAGUCGGGCUCUCUGGGGAAACUCGAGAAGGCGCAUAGGCACAGGUGCCUAGAAACCGUUCCGUAGGUGAACCUGCGGAAGGAUCAUUA
Molecule: ribosomal RNA, 408 nt
Filed under: Aquilomyces patris
Lineage: Eukaryota; Fungi; Ascomycota; Dothideomycetes; Pleosporales; Morosphaeriaceae
Description: partial 18S ribosomal RNA
Rfam family: Group I catalytic intron (bases 34-347)
About the family: Group I catalytic introns are large self-splicing ribozymes.
Source: RNAcentral